AAAAAAAAAAUAAAUAGAGAUAAAUGGUAUAAAGAAUUAGAUAGGAAUGAAAUGAAGGACCCUCAAUCCAGACCAUCGGUAAGAAAGGUAGUUUUGUGAAAUGAUUCAUAUAUAAAAAUAAUUUAUACAGUCUAGAUCCCGCUAACUUGUUUAACCCCACCACAUUAUUUAUGUAUGUGUCUGUCCCAAGUCAGGAGCCUGUAAUUCAGUGGUUGUCAUUUGUUUAUGUGUAACAUAUUUGUUUUUCAUUCAUUUUUUUUUUUAACAAAUAAGGCCGUUUGUUUUCUUGUUUGAAUUGUUGUACAUCAUGUACAUUGUCAUAUCUUGGCCUUUCAUUGCUGACUAUAUAUGCGGUAUGGGCUUUGCUCAUUGUUGAAGGCCGUACAGUGACCUAUAGCUGUUUAUGUCUGUGCCAUUUUGGUCUCUUUUGGAUACAUUGAAGUUGUCUCAUUGGCAAUCAUACCACAUCUUUUUUAUAUAGAUGGGUUUUGUUCUAUUCUUACAUGUCUAAAUUUUAAGUCUGCAUGCUUAACCAAAAAUGUUAUAACUGGAAUCCUAGCAAAAUAAACUGCAUUCACAUUCGAAUACUCCAGGUUUACAACAAGAAAAUUCUGUUUGCAUAUACAUGUAAUUAUAUAAAUCCCCUACUUUCAUGAAAUUUUAUCAUGACCUUUUCUC
RNAcentral lists this long non-coding RNA (678 nucleotides) under Mytilus galloprovincialis (Mediterranean mussel). Lineage: Eukaryota; Metazoa; Mollusca; Bivalvia; Mytilida; Mytilidae. The record is from RNAcentral.